CCUACGGGGGGCUGCAGUGGGGAAUAUUGGACAAUGGGGGGAACCCUGAUCCAGCCAUGCCGCGUGUGUGAAGAAGGCCCUCGGGUUGUAAAGCACUUUCAGUGAGGAAGAACGCCUGGUGGUUAAUACCCAUCAGGAAAGACAUCACUCACAGAAGAAGCACCGGCUAACUCCGUGCCAGCAGCCGCGGUAAUACGGAGGGUGCGAGCGUUAAUCGGAAUUACUGGGCGUAAAGCGCGCGUAGGUGGCUUGAUAAGCCGGUUGUGAAAGCCCCGGGCUCAACCUGGGAACGGCAUCCGGAGCUGUCAAGCUAGAGUGCAGGAGAGGAAGGUAGAAUUCCCGGUGUAGCGGUGAAAUGCGUAGAGAUCGGGAGGAAUACCAGUGGCGAAGGCGGCCUUCUGGACUGACACUGACACUGAGGUGCGAAAGCGUGGGUAGCAAACAGGAUUAGAUACCCUUGUAGUC
This 465-nucleotide ribosomal RNA is filed under the name Vreelandella stevensii. RNAcentral's name for it is "partial 16S ribosomal RNA". It matches the Rfam family "Bacterial small subunit ribosomal RNA", at positions 338 to 795 of the family's 1533-position model. The record is from RNAcentral. Lineage: Bacteria; Pseudomonadati; Pseudomonadota; Gammaproteobacteria; Oceanospirillales; Halomonadaceae.